This 72-nucleotide transfer RNA is filed under the name Capra hircus (goat). It matches the Rfam family "tRNA". Rfam says of the family: Transfer RNA (tRNA) molecules are approximately 80 nucleotides in length. Lineage: Eukaryota; Metazoa; Chordata; Mammalia; Artiodactyla; Bovidae. RNAcentral also lists the same sequence under 1 other name. The record is from Rfam by way of RNAcentral.
UCCCUCAUAGCUCAGUUGGUAAAGAGUCUGCUUGCAGUGCAGGAGACCCAGGUUCGAUUCCUGGGUCGGGAA